Long non-coding RNA from Bufo bufo (common toad), 1802 nucleotides. RefSeq lists it as uncharacterized. The record is from RefSeq and is a predicted model, not a curated record. NCBI's taxonomy places the organism in Eukaryota, Metazoa, Chordata, Amphibia, Anura, Bufonidae. The transcript has 3 exons.
CACCCCCCGCCGUACACCACACACCGAGGUCUGAGGACACAGGGGUGACCGGUAUCACAGCGCCCCCCGCCGUACACCACACACCGAGGUCUCUGAGGACACAGGGGUGACCGGUAUCACAGCACCCCCCGCCGUACACCACACACCGAGGUCUCCGAGGACACAGGGGUGACCGGUAUCACAGCGCCCCCCGCCGUACACCACACACCGAGGUCUCCGAGGACACAGGGGUGACCGGUAUCACAGCGCCCCCCGCCGUACACCACACACCGAGGUCUGAGGACACAGGGGUGACCGGUAUCACAGCGCCCCCCGCCGUACACCACACACCGAGGUCUCCGAGGACACAGGGGUGACCGGUAUCACAGCGCCCCCCGCCGUACACCACACACCGGGGUCUCUGAGGACACAGGGGUGACCGGUAUCACAGCGCCCCCCGCCGUACACCACACACCGAGGACACAGGGGUGACCGGUAUCACAGCGCCCCCCGCCGUACACCGCACACCGAGGUCUCUGAGGACACAGGGGUGACCGGUAUCACAGCGCCCCCCGCCGUACACCACACACCGGGGUCUCUGAGGACACAGGGGGGUGACCGGUAUCACAGCGCCCCCCGCCGUACACCGCACACCGAGGUCUCUGAGGACACAGGGGUGACCGGUAUCACAGCGCCCCCCGCCGUACACCACACACCGGGGUCUCUGAGGACACAGGGGUGACCGGUAUCACAGCGCCCCCCGCCGUACACCACACACCGGGGUCUCUGAGGACACAGGGGUGACCGGUAUCACAGCGCCCCCCGCCGUACACCACACACCGAGGACACAGGGGUGACCGGUAUCACAGCGCCCCCCGCCGUACACCACACACCGAGGACACAGGGGUGACCGGUAUCACAGCGCCCCCCGCCGUACACCACACACCGGGGUCUCUGAGGACACAGGGGUGACCGGUAUCACAGCGCCCCCCACCGUACACCACACACCGAGGUCUCUGAGGACACAGGGGUGACCGGUAUCACAGCGCCCCCCGCCGUACACCACACACCGAGGAUACAGGGGUGACCGGUAUCACAGCGCCCCCCGCCGUACACCACACACCGGGGUCUCUGAGGACACAGGGGUGACCGGUAUCACAGCUCCCCCCGCCGUACACCACACACCGAGGUCUCUGAGGACACAGGGGUGACCGGUAUCACAGCGCCCCCCGCCGUACACCACACACCGAGGUCUCUGAGGACACAGGGGUGACCGGUAUCACAGCGCCCCCCGCCGUACACCGCACACCGGGGUCUCUGAGGACACAGGGGUGACCGGUAUCACAGCGCCCCCCACCGUACACCACACACCGAGGUCUCUGAGGACACAGGGGUGACCGGUAUCACAGCGCCCCCCACCGUACACCACACACCGAGGUCUCUGAGGACACAGGGGUGACCGGUAUCACAGCGCCCCCCACCGUACACCACACACCGAGGUCUCUGAGGACACAGGGGUGACCGGUAUCACAGCGCCCCCCGCCGUACACCGAGGUCUGUGAGGACACAGGGGUGACCGGUAUCACAGCGCCCCCCACCGUACACCACACACCGAGGACACAGGGGUGACCGGUAUCACAGCGCCCCCCGCCGUACACCACACACCGAGGACACAGGGGUGACCGGUAUCACAGCGCCCCCCGCCGUACACCACACACCGAGGUCUCUGAGGACACAGGGGUGACCGGUAUCACAGCGCCCCCCGCCGUACACCACACACCGGGGUCUCUGAGGACACAGAGGUGACCGGUAUCACAGCGCCC